RNAcentral lists this long non-coding RNA (596 nucleotides) under Anser brachyrhynchus (Pink-footed goose). RNAcentral describes it as "lncRNA (ENSABRG00000019915.1)". Lineage: Eukaryota; Metazoa; Chordata; Aves; Anseriformes; Anatidae. The record is from RNAcentral.
GUUCUAUAAGCCCUAGUUGUUUCCUAGUGAAGUGAAAGAUCAGCACAUGAAAUGCAUACAUCCCCAUUCACCUUCACCUUUUUCUGGGAAAGCUCCCAUCGAUUUUUACUGAAAUGGAACAUGAUGCCAGAUCUCCAGAUUUUUCUAAACCUUUAAAAUCACAUAUCCUUUUGGAAGUCAUCAAAACUCAAUACAUUCCCUGUUCAGUGGAUUUUCUGUGCUUUGAUUUCUCUCUCUGCAUAUAUUUAAAGUUCAUGAAAUUUUCAUUUCUGUUACUUCUGUAAUAGCAUUUCUUGUUCUUGUACAACUUGCUGAAGAAUUAGCCAAUAAUAUAAUAUAUUUAAAAGUCAUACUUUUUUCCUUAUCAAAUAUACUUGUAUGCAUAUGAACAUGGGAACGCAAGAAAAUUAUAAAUGGGGAAAAGAAUGAUAAGCAGGUUUUAUAGUAAAUGUCUUUCAUAAAGACUUGAUCUUAUUUGCAGUGAUUUCUUGGGGUAGUAUUCAGUAAAUCAGGGCCAAAAGAUUUUACUACUUAUAUACAGGAAUUAUUAGGAAGCUCCAAAUAAAAACUUGUUCCUUCAAUCCGAUAUGUACUCA